UAAGGCGCCAGCUUAAGGCGCUGGUCCGAAAGGGCGUGGGUUCAAAUCCCACCGUCAUCAUACUUUUUAUCUGUUGAAGU
Molecule: transfer RNA, 80 nt
Filed under: Sterkiella histriomuscorum
Lineage: Eukaryota; Ciliophora; Spirotrichea; Sporadotrichida; Oxytrichidae
Description: tRNA-Leu
Rfam family: tRNA (bases 1-60)
About the family: Transfer RNA (tRNA) molecules are approximately 80 nucleotides in length. Their secondary structure includes four short double-helical elements and three loops (D, anti-codon, and T loops).
Source: RNAcentral